Molossus molossus (Pallas's mastiff bat) is the source of this 409-nucleotide long non-coding RNA. RefSeq lists it as uncharacterized. The transcript has 3 exons. NCBI's taxonomy places the organism in Eukaryota, Metazoa, Chordata, Mammalia, Chiroptera, Molossidae. The record is from RefSeq and is a predicted model, not a curated record.
UAUUGCUAUCCCAGAUUGUUUUUCCAUUUGAGUGAAAUAUCUUUUUCCAUCCCUUUACUUUCAGUUUUUGUCUAACAAUCUGAAGUUGGUCUCUUAUACGCAAAAUAUCUAUGAGUGGUGUUUUCCAUUCAGCUACCUUAUGCCUUCUGAUUGGACCGUUUAAUCCAUUUACAUUUAAAAUUAUUAUUAAAAGGUAUUAGAUAGAUCUGCUAUGUCUCCCAAUCUUAUGUUAAUAGAUGACCCAUGAGGCCCAGUGGCACAGGCUGCCGAUCACCUGAGCAGGAUGCUUCAGGAACAUCCCUUGUUUUUGCAAAUAAUCAUUUAUCCACUAAGUAGAGGAAGUGAGAAGUUCUAGUGCAACACCACAAUAAAAAGACAUUAUGGAAUAUCUAUUUCACUAAAGAACUGC